UAAUGUCUUCAAGCUCCAUCCAUACUGUAGCAUGCAUGAAAACUUAGGGUGGCAUAGUCUAGGAUGGGAGCUGAGGAGAACACUGGUUACAACAGAGUAAGGCCAGGCCAGGAUCUCAUUGCAUUUGAGAAGUCUUCAAAGGGGACUAAAAAGUGAAAGCUCUCAUCCUGACUCUACCUGCAUGGUGACUUUUAGUAGGGGAGGAGUGGAAACCACUGAUACUUGGGGAGUGAGGAGUGGCAGGGACGUGACUUGCUGGGAACAUUGGUCCGUUGUGAUAACUCUCUUGGCUCUUGCCCUAUGCCAGGCAUAUGUGUUAACUCAUUAAAUCCUUACAUCCACACUGUGAGGUAGGGACUACUCUUGUCCCCACAUUACAGAUGAGGGAAUAGAGGCCUAGGAAACUUAAAUAUCUUGCCCAUGUCCCACAGCUAAUGAGUUGUAGACCUGGGAUUUGAACCAGGCAGUCUGGCUCUUGAGGCUGUGCUCAUAAUAACAACCCUGUGUGUGUCAUAUGGCAAAGGGGAAGAGAAGCAGAGUUGCCCACAGGGAUGGAGUUCACCAGCCCAGUCUGAGGAUGUAAUGAGGUUGAUUGUUCUACUUUCUACGGUGACUCUGAACCAUGCUGAACACACAGUGUCUUCAACUGAUGCCGAAACCACAGACGCACCAGGUGCUGUCGGUAUAAGGCAGGUCACCCUGAUGAAGGAGCCAUCGGGAGCCCUGGAUCACCAGUGGGGAAUGGAUCUGGCAAACGCUGAUUCCUGUGCAAGGAGGAUGGCCUUCUGGGAGCAACACAGAUGUCAUUCUUGGAGUUCUUCAGAGAUAAUCCUGAUAGGAAAAGGUUUGAGGGCCACAGACCAGGGUGCUUCAUGGAGGCACCAGCAUGGGAUUCCAAUAGAUGUUGAUAAGUGGAGAAGACGAGAAGGGGCUCCUUGGCUAAGGACACCCUGUGAGCAAAGUCACAAAGGAUAUAUGUGAGCCCCUUUGGCUCAACCCAGCUUUGGUCCUGGCUGCCUUGGGGCCCCUUUCCUCCUGUCUGUGAGGCCCAGUGAGAGAAACUGAUUUGUUUUUGUAUGAGUGGGGUAUUCUCUUCCAUGUGCCCUACAGCACCAGACUGCUAGUUCCACAAAAAUUCGGUGACGUUAUGGAGGUGGCAAGGGUUGCCUGGUUGAGAAGCUGUUACAUGUGAGCCAAGUUCCUGGCCACCUGCCACCCUAACUUUCUUAAAUACCUCCUCUCUGGAAGACUUAUCUCCUCAGAUGGAGUUCAGGCAAGUCACUCAGCCUCUCUUGUUCCGGCGUCUGUGAAAGGCAUUGGUGCCCUGCUGGUGUGGAAGGGCUGCACACAGACUCAGUGGGAAAGUCCUGCCAAGCCCGUUGGGAAUGUGCAGAUUUCCAGUUCCUUCUCCAGAGCCCGUCAACAGUCUUGUCUUUUUCUUUUCAGCUGAAACAGGCAAAGGCAUUUAAAUUGAACGCGAGGUGUUUUAAAAGCCAUGGCUGGCUGAGGCUCAACAUGUAAGCACAACAGUUCGAGUGUGGGGUUUGGACCUGCACUGCCGCUCGCCACCACCUGAUGCUCAGGACUUCUCACCUUCUGUAAAUUUGGAGGCUGAAAAGAUACACGUGGGAUUCUCUGCAGUGAUUGAGAAUGAUGAUGAUGGUUAGUGGUAUUGUUCUGAAAGUGUGAUGAGAAGAUUGGAUCACCCAGAACCCAGUAAAAUGGCCGUAUUCACUCUAGAGGAACAAGUGCGCGCUGCAGGCUUGUAUGAAGAUGUCCACCGCAGCAUUGCUUACCAGAGCACACACAUGGAAACCACAGUCAGUAGGGGAAUGGACAAGAGCGGGGGUCAUGAAGAAGGGGACUUCAUUUAUUUUUGUAUUGUUUGAUUCUUUUGCAAUGAAUUCAGGUAUUGAUUAAAAAAUGAAUUGCUGAGUAAGAAAAACAGAUUACAGAAUUUUUGUAAAAAAAAUCAUUUGUGUACAUACAUGCAAUUCAACUGGAAAUAAACACUGGAAGGAAACACAUUAAAACUUUCAUGGUAAGUGAAGUGGGAUCAUAGAUUUUUUUUUUAAUUAAUUAUUAUUAAGCUUCAAGUGAACGUUUACCAUUCCAAUCAGUCUGUCACAUGUACGUUUACAUACAUCUUACUCCCUUCUCCCACUUGCUCUCCCCCUAUUGAGUCAGCCCUUACAGUCUCUCGUUUCGUGCCAAUUUUGCCAUCUUCCCUCUCUCUCUAUCUUCCCAUCCCCCCUCCAGUCAAGAGUUGCCAACACACUCUCCAGUGUCCACCUGAUUUAAUUAGCUCUCUCUUCAUCGGCAUCUCUCUCCCCCUCACU
Loxodonta africana (African savanna elephant) is the source of this 2339-nucleotide long non-coding RNA. RefSeq lists it as uncharacterized. The record is from RefSeq and is a predicted model, not a curated record. The transcript has 3 exons. Lineage: Eukaryota; Metazoa; Chordata; Mammalia; Proboscidea; Elephantidae.